This 745-nucleotide ribosomal RNA is filed under the name uncultured bacterium. RNAcentral's name for it is "bacterial SSU rRNA". It matches the Rfam family "Bacterial small subunit ribosomal RNA", at positions 33 to 773 of the family's 1533-position model. The record is from RNAcentral.
ACGCUGGCGGCAGGCCUAACACAUGCAAGUCGAGCGGUAGAGAGAAGCUUGCUUCUCUUGAGAGCGGCGGACGGGUGAGUAAUGCCUAGGAAUCUGCCUGGUAGUGGGGGAUAACGUCCGGGAACGGACGCUAAUACCGCAUACGUCCUACGGGAGAAAGCAGGGGACCUUCGGGCCUUGCGCUAUCAGAUGAGCCUAGGUCGGAUUAGCUAGUUGGUGGGGUAAUGGCUCACCAAGGCGACGAUCCGUAACUGGUCUGAGAGGAUGAUCAGUCACACUGGAACUGAGACACGGUCCAGACUCCUACGGGAGGCAGCAGUGGGGAAUAUUGGACAAUGGGCGAAAGCCUGAUCCAGCCAUGCCGCGUGUGUGAAGAAGGUCUUCGGAUUGUAAAGCACUUUAAGUUGGGAGGAAGGGCAGUUACCUAAUACGUGAUUGUUUUGACGUUACCGACAGAAUAAGCACCGGCUAACUCUGUGCCAGCAGCCGCGGUAAUACAGAGGGUGCAAGCGUUAAUCGGAAUUACUGGGCGUAAAGCGCGCGUAGGUGGUUCGUUAAGUUGGAUGUGAAAUCCCCGGGCUCAACCUGGGAACUGCAUUCAAAACUGACGAGCUAGAGUAUGGUAGAGGGUGGUGGAAUUUCCUGUGUAGCGGCGAAAUGCGUAGAUAUAGGAAGGAACACCAGUGGCGAAGGCGACCACCUGGACUGAUACUGACACUGAGGUGCGAAAGCGUGGGGAGCAAAC